CUACAGCAACAUCCUCUCUUUUCUGCCUGUCUCUUUUCAUGGAUAUUAAUUUUAAUCUUUAUCAGCUUUCGCCUGCCUAUGUAAAUUGUUCUCCAUCUUGUUUCCCUCAUCCAAAUUUGUCUCAAUUCGGACUUCCACAACAGGGAGCUUAAUACUAUUUUACUUUUUUCUUUCUGCUUAAAGUGUAUUUUACUUUUAAGUAAAGUGUAAUUUUCUUUACUGCUUAAAGUGUAUUUUACUUUUUUCUUUCUGCUUAAAACACGUUAAUGCUUGGGAAAUGUGAUGGAGGCAAGAGUUGAAGAGGUACUCAUUGUAGUUUAUUGCAGCACAGGCAAAAGAUAAUGCUAGAUGGAAGAUGAUUUUUCAUGGAUGUGAUUGAACAUGACUUUGGAAGUUUUCCUCCAUGUGAGUUUCAAGGUAGUGUUAAAGUAAAUAAGAAGGAGGCCAUUACAUACAGAGAUUGUCUCUGUAGCACAAGCUCUCAUAUUAGCAAAACCAGGACUUCACUUAAAAAACAUUUCUUGUAACUAAGAAAAGAAAAAGGGGGCCUCAGCGAGUCACCACCAAUCAACCAGCCAAUUCAUUAUACAACUAGAAACCUCCCAUCAGAACGUGCCCAAGUAAGGUAAAUGCCUCAUCACAUUGUGCAGAAAUAAGGCAGCCAUCUAGCUGUGUCUAAUCAGAGUAUACUCCUUCUACUUAAAAAAAAGGUAACUGUAAGACAACCUCAGGCAAGUCCUUCAGGAGGUAUUCCAGGAGAAGGCAUUGUUAUCAAGGAUGAAAACUCCUCGGGUGUUACUACCUCUGAAAACCCUCCACUGGGACAAGACAUGGAGAUGGAAGAUAGUUCUAUUGAUGAUCCUGACCAUAUAGAUGUGAUUGAUGUGACCAACCACAGAAGACCUCCUGAUACUAGACGGGAUUGAAUGACCAUACCGGAUGUCAGUAGUGGAUAGAGAGUGUGUACAAGGUAAAUAAAGUAUUUCCCUGAUCUUGUUGCUUUCAGGAGCUAUAGACCAGAGGCAGCACCUCAGUGGGAACAUGGACCAGGAAAACCCAGUGAAAGGACCCAUACACAUGACUUGAGACCACAAGUCGGAGGUGGUCUUUAGGUAAUCCAGAAUCCUCAUCUCUUCUUGUGUCUGACAUGAGUAAAAGUCAUCUAAAUUCAUUAUUUCGGCACUAUUUAUGCAGCUAAUUUUCUGCAGCUUCAUGAAAGACAUUCUGUUCUGGCCGUGGAAUGCAAACAAUCAUCUUACCAGGUUUCCCUUCUGGAACUGGGCCUGGUGUUGGGACUUUGACUGGGACCACCCCAAAAACAUAAUUCUGGGACUGUGUUGGGAAAUCUGUUGGAUCCUAUAUAUGGAGACACAGUGUCAGAGAGCUCUAUUAUGGAUCCAGGUCUGGGCUUGCACUGCCCCACGUGGAUAUCCCUGCUGGCUUUGGCUAAUCUCAAAUGCUGGAGAGGAACUUCAAUAUUUUUAGAAAGACACUCAAGCUUAGGGGCCCAUGAGGCAUGGGGCUUGCGCUGGGGUUCCUGCUUACUCAAGAAGGUUUGAAAAGAGAAAAUGACCUGGGCCUCUCUUGGACCGAGUUAUAUCCUUAUAGAAUAAUUUCUGCCCCUUUAUAAAUGAAAUAUCUGAGUAAUAAGCCAUCCAAAACUUCUUUGCCCAAAAUAACUUUUGGAUAAUUAUAAGUGAUAUUAAAGUACAAUCUAAAUGUGUUUUAAUCCCACAUAUGACUGCUACAAUCAUGUAGCAGUUAAUAAAAAAAAUUGAUAAUCAAAUUAUAGAAAAACAGCUCAUUUAAAAUGUCAGUUUUAAAGUAAUGAUUAAUCUUCAAUACUAAAUAGCAAUUAUAUGCAUUUUAAGUAGUUCAGAUAAAGAUUGCGUGUUUAGGAGAAAGUAUUUCCAGCCUUUCACAAAUGUUUUCAGAAAUGUGAAGUUGGAAAUAUAAACUGUUAUAAUGUGCACAAUUACAUAACUCCUAAAAAGUAUUUUAAACUCUUUAUAUGUAUUCAUCCUCUUAGAGCUGUUAUGUGGUAGAGAUGCUAUUAUGCUGAAUAAGUACUUAAACAUUUCUAUGGAAAUAUAAACCAAAGCAAAACAUUAAAUCUUCCGGUGCCUUGUAAGUAAGAUAAUAAGCACAGAAAUUUGUAGCAUACUUAAUAUCAUUUUCUCCACCCUGUACUUUAUCUUCAAUAUUCAUUUUUUAUUAGAUCUGGUUGAUUUUUACUUCCUUGGUGUUUGGCAAAUAGUUUUUUUCUUCUGUGCAUCUCACAUACGACUUAGUUUAGAAUUCAAUUCUAUUUAUUCCAUCUUGCUCUUUGCCUGCUCUCAUCCUUUGGGACACAUUUUCCUCAGUUUUCUAAAAACACAAAUAGAUCAUGCUACUUCUCUUCAAAUUCUUCAAUAAAUCCUAAUAUCCUUCAAAUUCAAAGCCAUUCAUCAAAGGUAAAUCUGGCAUAUAUUGGUGAUCUGGCACACACUGAAUUUUCUUGUCUCAUUCUAUUAAUGUAUCAUUCAUCUAUCCAUUCAUAUUUAUGAACUGCUGGUUUUCUGUCAUACACUAUUAUACGCCUGGGGAUAUAGCAUUAGCCAGGACCAUGGUUCUUGUUCUUAUGUGACUGUUGGGCUAGUAGAAAAAAAAUACAAUGAAAACAAAAUCAGAUAGAAAAGAUAAUUUUGAAAAGUGAUACCAAUCUUAAAAAAUAAUUAAAUGAGGCAGUUUGAAGGUAAUGAAGUCUAAAAAGGAGGGAUAGCCUGAAAAAGCUUUCUGGAAAGAGAGACAUCUGAGCUAAGACAUGAACUGAAAUAGCCAACCAUGCAAAGAUAAAGAUCCUCUCAGGCAAAGGGAAGAUAAGUUUCAAAGUCUCUGAAGCAUGGGUAAACUAGGUUUGUUCAAGAAGCAGAAACAGUAAGUCAGAGGCAUAAUCAAAAGAAAACUGGUAGGAAAAGAGAUUGAAAUGGAAGGGAGGGCCUAGGUUUUGCAGAAUAUUAUUUCUAUUUUCACAAAUUAUUCUUUAUAUAGUCCUGCAUUGACAGCUCCUUUGAAUAUAUCACACCAGCCCAACUCUUUCUCUUUGUUGUGUUAGAAGAAUCAGGGUGGUUUCGUUUCCUCUCAUAAUCCAUAACCCUUACUUGUACUGAAUGUUCCAUUUAGGUGUUUCUUCCAUUUAUCAUGAACAUAACACUUAAUGUGAUGCUUCAAAACAUAAAUUUCCAUUUUCACCCCUUUCUUGAGCUCUUUUUAAUAACUAAGAUGGUGUUUUUGAUACCUUUGCAUUAUUUCAAUUAUGUAGCCCAUUUUAAGUACUCUGAGAAUCUUUAAUAAUGAGGAUCUUUAAUAAUUUUUGAUAAGAAAAUCAAUUAAUUAAUAUACAAAACAAAGAAAAAAGAUAAUGUGAGCCCACAAUAAACCACUUUGUUUAAUAUAACUGUUUUGAUUAAGCAACUCAAUAUCUUGAUAUUUAACCCCUUUGUUUGAACCAAUUUCUCCCAUUUGGAACAGGACCAUUUACCCAAUGCCUGUACCCCCAUUGUAUCUUGGAAGUAGCUAACUUUUUUUUUUUCUAUUUUACAGGCUUAUAGGCAUAAGGGACUUGUCUUUUCUCAGAUGAGACUUUGGACUGUGGACUUUUGAGUUAAUCCAUACUUUUAGAACCUUGUUGUCAAUACAUACCACUAGAUGCAUCUUUUUUUCUCUUCAGUAGAAAUUUUCAGAGCAAAACACACAAUGCUCUGACAAGAUAAACAUUUAUAUAUACAAAUAAAGAAAUUGAAGUAUAAUAAUGUUUUGAAAAAUGAUUGCCAUAUUGAUAUGGUUUGGCUUCAUGUCCCCACCUCAUUUUGAAUUGUAAUUCCCAGUGUUUUGUGGGGGCUGGUGGGAGGUUAUUGGAUCACAAGAGAGGGUUUCCCCUUGCUGUUCUGCUGAGUGUGUUCUCACAAGUUCUGAUGCUUUAAAAGUGUGAGGGACUUUCCCCUUCCCUCUCACUCGCUCCUGCUGUCAUGUGAAGAUAUGUUUGCUUCCUCUUCACCUUCCACCAUGAUUGUAAGUUUUCUGAGGCCUCCCAGGAAUGACUCCUGUACAGUCUAUAGAACUGUAAGUCAAUUAAAUCUAUUUUUUCAUAAAU
RNAcentral lists this long non-coding RNA (4132 nucleotides) under Homo sapiens (human). RNAcentral's name for it is "HSALNT0085928". The record is from RNAcentral. Lineage: Eukaryota; Metazoa; Chordata; Mammalia; Primates; Hominidae.